RNAcentral lists this long non-coding RNA (598 nucleotides) under Glycine max (soybean). RNAcentral describes it as "long non-coding RNA (GMAX_LNC001802)". The record is from RNAcentral. Lineage: Eukaryota; Viridiplantae; Streptophyta; Magnoliopsida; Fabales; Fabaceae.
ACAAAGCAGAAGAAUCGAUAGGAAAAUGAUCUUCAAUCUUAAGCUGUCACAAGAGAGUUCAGUCUAGCCUCCAUUCUUUUCUCAAAGGUCUAUUUUAAAACCUAAAACAAGUUACAAGUUCUAAUGAAAACAAUAAAAAAUUUGUAAAUAGAAUUCUGACGCUCCCUACAUCGAUGUGGCUACAUCCACAGAGGUGUGGGAGGCGCGUUGGAAGAGAAAAUGAAUGUGAGGUUAAUUCACAAUAGUGUGGCUCAAUCCAUAGAGGUGUGGGAGGCCUACUGAUGGAAACUUUCUUGAGAAGCUUCUAUGGAGGCUGGAUCUUUGAGCUUCAAUGAGGUCCUUCAAUGAUGAUUUUCAACCAUGGAGUUGUAGCAGAAGAUAAAGAGGAGAAGAGGUGAGAGGAGGCGCCAUCCACUAGGAAAUAAGCCAUGGAAGGAGGAGUUUCACCACCAAGAGAGUGUCUUGGAUAAGAAGCUUAGAGAGGGAGCUUCAAUGGAGGAAAAGAAUGAGAGGGGGGGGGGGGGGGGGGGGGGCACGAAAAUGAAGGAGAAAAAGAGGGAGAGAAGUUGAACUUUGAAAUGUGUCUCACAAGACUCUC